This 327-nucleotide unclassified non-coding RNA is filed under the name Hevea brasiliensis (rubber tree). The record is from RNAcentral. Lineage: Eukaryota; Viridiplantae; Streptophyta; Magnoliopsida; Malpighiales; Euphorbiaceae.
UAUUCUGCGAGAACACACAGAGAGAGAGAUGGCGGAAGAGGUAGAAGAACGAACUCUCCAAACAACACCAACAUGGGCUGUGGCCACUGUUUGCUUUAUUUUGAUAUUUUUAUCUAUCAUAAUUGAGCAUUUGCUUCAUCUUUUGGCUAAGUAUUUCAACAAGAGAAGGAGGAACGCACUCAUACAGGCUCUUGACAAGAUCAAAUCAGAAUUGAUGCUUUUAGGUUUCAUGUCCUUGUUGCUAACUGUGAGCGAAAAGCCUAUAGCAAAUAUUUGCAUCCCCAAGAGUGUAGGCGAAACUUUUCUUCCCUGUGGUAGUAUGACUUC